AUCUUUAUAGUUUAUUUAAAACAUUACUUUUUCAAAGUAAAAAAGAAUUUAAAAUUCUAAAGAUA
RNAcentral lists this transfer RNA (65 nucleotides) under Dermestes ater. RNAcentral describes it as "tRNA-Glu". It matches the Rfam family "tRNA". From Rfam's summary of the family: Transfer RNA (tRNA) molecules are approximately 80 nucleotides in length. Their secondary structure includes four short double-helical elements and three loops (D, anti-codon, and T loops). Further hydrogen bonds mediate the characteristic L-shaped molecular structure. tRNAs have two regions of fundamental functional importance: the anti-codon, which is responsible for specific mRNA codon recognition, and the 3' end, to which the tRNAs corresponding amino acid is attached (by aminoacyl-tRNA synthetases). tRNAs cope with the degeneracy of the genetic code in two manners: having more than one tRNA (with a specific anti-codon) for a particular amino acid; and 'wobble' base-pairing, i.e. permitting non-standard base-pairing at the 3rd anti-codon position. Lineage: Eukaryota; Metazoa; Arthropoda; Insecta; Coleoptera; Dermestidae. The record is from RNAcentral.